CAGCCGCCGCGGUAAUACGGAGGGGGCUAGCGUUGUUCGGAAUUACUGGGCGUAAAGCGCACGUAGGCGGCUUGGUAAGUUGAAGGUGAAAUCUCGGGGCUUAACCCCGAAACUGCCUUCAAUACUGCUAGGCUCGAGGACUGUAGAGGAGAAUGGAAUUCACGGUGUAGCAGUGAAAUGCGUAGAUAUCGUGAGGAAGACCAGUGGCGAAGGCGAUUCUCUGGGCAGUUCCUGACACUGAGGCACGAAGGCCAGGGGAGCAAACGGGAUUAGAUACCCCUGUAGUCCCUGUCUCUUAUAC
RNAcentral lists this ribosomal RNA (301 nucleotides) under uncultured bacterium. Its description in RNAcentral is "partial 16S ribosomal RNA". It matches the Rfam family "Bacterial small subunit ribosomal RNA", at positions 509 to 807 of the family's 1533-position model. The record is from RNAcentral.